This 336-nucleotide unclassified non-coding RNA is filed under the name soil metagenome. Its description in RNAcentral is "partial contains 5.8S ribosomal RNA, internal transcribed spacer 2, and large subunit ribosomal RNA". The stretch from base 1 to 120 matches the Rfam family "5.8S ribosomal RNA", at positions 35 to 154 of the family's 154-position model. The record is from RNAcentral.
GAUGAAGAACGUAGCGAAAUGCGAUAAGUAAUGUGAAUUGCAUAAUUCAGUGAAUCAUCGAAUCUUUGAACGCACAUUGCGCCCGCCAGUAUUCUGGCGGGCAUGCCUGUUCGAGCGUCAUUUCAACCAUCAAGCCCCAGGCUUGUGUUGGGGACCUGCGGCUGCCGCAGGCCCUGAAAACCAGUGGCGGGCUCGCUGUCACACCGGGCGUAGUAGAUUUUAUCUCGCUCAGGGCGUGCUGCGGGUUCCGGCCGUUAAAAAGCCUUUUUUACCCAAGGUUGACCUCGGAUCAGGUAGGAAGACCCGCUGAACUUAAGCAUAUCAAUAAGCGGAGGA